GUCAGCCUGCCAGUGACUUUGUUCAACGGCCGCGGUAUCCUAACCGUGCGAAGGUAGCGUAAUCACUUGUCUUUUAAAUGAGGACUUGUAUGAAUGGCAUCACGAGGGUUAUACUGUCUCCUUUUUCUAAUCAGUGAAACUAAUCUUCCCGUGAAGAAGCGGGAAUAAAUAUAUAAGACGAGAAGACCCUAUGGAGCUUUAAACUUAAUAACAAAUACUAACCUUACUUCAACUUCCAGAACAUUAAUCUUAAUUUUAGUAUUGUGUUUAUUAGUUUUAGGUUGGGGUGACCGCGGAGUAAAAAUUAACCUCCAUAUUGAAUAGGACUCGUCCUUGAGCUGAGAACUACAACCCUAAGCACCAAUAAAUUGACAUUAAUUGACCCAAUAUUUUGAUCAACGAACCAAGUUACCCUAGGGAUAACAGCGCAAUCCACUUCAAGAGCUCCUAUCGACAAGUGGGUUUACGACCUCGAUGUUGGAUCAGGGUAUCCCAGUGGUGCAGCCGCUACUAAAGGUUCGUUUGUUCAACGAUUAAAACCCUACGUGAUCUGA
This 554-nucleotide ribosomal RNA is filed under the name Osteocephalus cf. leprieurii RB-2011. RNAcentral's name for it is "partial 16S ribosomal RNA". It matches the Rfam family "Bacterial large subunit ribosomal RNA", at positions 1900 to 2608 of the family's 2925-position model. Lineage: Eukaryota; Metazoa; Chordata; Amphibia; Anura; Hylidae. The record is from RNAcentral.